UAGGGAGGCAGCAGUGGGGAAUAUUGCACAAUGGGCGCAAGCCUGAUGCAGCCAUGCCGCGUGUAUGAAAAAGGCCUUCGGGUUGUAAAGUACUUUCAGUCGUGAGGAAGGUGUUAAGGUUAAUAACCUUAGCAAUUGACGUUAGCGACAGAAGAAGCACCGGCUAACUCCGUGCCAGCAGCCGCGGUAAUACGGAGGGUGCGAGCGUUAAUCGGAAUUACUGGGCGUAAAGGGCACGCAGGCGGUUAAUUAAGUUGGAUGUGAAAUCCCCGGGCUUAACCUGGGAAUGGCAUUCAAGACUGGUUAGCUAGAGUCUUGUAGAGGGGGGUUAGAAUUCCAUGUGUAGCGGUGAAAUGCGUAGAGAUGUGGAGGAAUACCGGUGGCGAAGGCGGCCCCUGGACAAAGACUGACGCUCAUGUGCGAAAGCGUGGGGAGCAAACAGGGAUUAGAUACC
RNAcentral lists this ribosomal RNA (454 nucleotides) under uncultured bacterium. RNAcentral's name for it is "bacterial SSU rRNA". It matches the Rfam family "Bacterial small subunit ribosomal RNA", at positions 341 to 786 of the family's 1533-position model. The record is from RNAcentral.